This 425-nucleotide ribosomal RNA is filed under the name uncultured bacterium. RNAcentral's name for it is "partial 16S ribosomal RNA". It matches the Rfam family "Bacterial small subunit ribosomal RNA", at positions 354 to 796 of the family's 1533-position model. The record is from RNAcentral.
GUGGGGAAUAUUGCACAAUGGGGGAAACCCUGAUGCAGCAACGCCGCGUGAGUGAUGAAGGUCUUCGGAUUGUAAAACUCUGUCUUUGGGGACGAUAAUGACGGUACCCAAGGAGGAAGCCACGGCUAACUACGUGCCAGCAGCCGCGGUAAUACAUAGGUGGCAAGCGUUGUCCGGAUUUACUGGGCGUAAAGGGAGCGUAGGCGGAUUUUUAAGUGGGAUGUGAAAUACCCGGGCUUAACCUGGGUGCUGCAUUCCAAACUGGAAGUGUAGAGUACAGGAGGGGAAAGUGGAAUUCCUAGUGUAGCGGUGAAAUGCGUAGAGAUUAGGAAGAACACCGGUGGCGAAGGCGACUUUCUGGACUGUAACUGACGCUGAGGCUCGAAAGCGUGGGGAGCAAACAGGAUUAGAAACCCCGGUAGUCC